CGGGUCUUCAACUCAAUCUCAGGCCCCCCACAACUGUGGAGGCCUGUCUCACCCCAUCACACUUGCUGGUGCAUUCGUCUGCUCUGGCAGAGCCUACCGGCUUGUCGCUGCAGCCCCCUGUGGCUUUUGCACGAUGGCUGCUGGAUGAACCUGGGUGACCGGUUGGGAUCUCCUCAGCACUUUUCUUCUCAACUAGAGGAGAAUGACCAGGAAGAUGGAAAUGGCCAAGGGACAAUUUCAGCCUCAAACUGCUUCCUGGACAGUGUUACAGGGGAAGGACUCUUGUGGUUGCUGAACUACAGCAGCUUUCAAGAUGAGGAAAAAUAAACAGAAAGGGGAUGUACGUGAUGGUUCUCAGUCAUCCAGGUCAGUGGUCCCCAACCUUUGUUGCGACACCGACCGGUUUAUGUCUGACAAUAUUUUCACGGACUGGCCUUUAAGGUGUUACGGAAAAAUACAACAAAAUAAAACCAGUACCAAAAAAAGAAUAUUAUUCAUAACACACGAGGAAAAGGCCCUGGGAAACAGAGUUAACGAAAAACAAUAAAAAAACAAUAAAAAACUUAACAUAAAUGUCACACCUGAGCCUCAACUCUCGCGGCCUGGUACCAAAAGACUCACGGACCGGGGCUUAGGGACCGCUGAUCGAGAUCAUUGUAGUUUGUCUGCCUGCAGACCGUGACACAAAACUCAGAGUGGAGAAAGAGAGAGGUGGACCCAGGAGCAGACACAGGUGAGGAGGCAGAACUACAUUGACAUGAGGGACACUGACAAAGAAACCUCAGACCCGAUACUGACACAGAACCAAAACCUAGGAACAAACAAAGACAUCAAGAAAUCAAAGAUUAACAAUACAAAACAGAAAAUGCUGCGUCACCGACCCAGGACUGUGACACUUUGAAAGAAAAGCAUCUGUACUACUUUAAGUUUCUAUCUCAUCAGAGAAGCUUCUUCAGUUCUAAGAGCAAUUGGUGGAGAGUCCCAGAUUUGAAGAAGCUUCUCAGAUAAGAGGAACACUCUCCAGUUGGUUCCUAUAAUUUGCUAGGUUUUUGAUUCCCUUUUAUACUCCCUAACCAUCUCUUCAACCUAAGACGCAGACAAAGAAGACUUUGUCCCAAGAGUUUGCACCUUGUGUUCACGGUCAGGGAACACCAGAGAGCACAAAAUCAACUUCUAAGUGAAAAGAUACAGGUCUAUUUCACUAUACAUGCACUCCAAAACAGGAUUAAUCAGACUCUACAGGAACUCAACACUUCUACCCUCCCCUAUUUUCAAGUUUGUGGACAAGGCUUAGAGCCCAACAUUCGAAAGGAAAAGACCGACAACACUGGAAAUUCCAUACUUUGCUAAUAAAAACUCCCCAGUCAAUACCGGCACAAUACUUCACCCAUUUUUCCUGACUGUCCUUGGUUGUGAGAACUUUUCAGACAAGAAUCUCACUGAACCUGAAAAGAAAGUGCUAGCCAAACGACUCAAUUUUGUAAUUUCUCUCCCACUCAAGAUGGCGGCGCGUGAACAACGCGAGGCUCAGUGUCUCUCCAGAAUCUGCUAUUUAGCGUUUUUUUUUUUUUUUUUUUUUUUUUAUCUACUUUUAACCGGAUUAUUCAUCCAGAAUUGCUGUGCGUUGCUGACCUACAGCAGACAAGAGCUUCUGGACAUCUGGACUCAUAACUCCAACAGUUUUAUCGCCGAUCUCCGACUCAUCCCAGAGAUCUCCAGAACACCGGAGGCUGCUCACUCUCCCCGGCCAGGCGGAAGUGCACGCAGACGGCGCCGAGAUCGUAAACAAAGGCGAGGUAGGCGCGGAGGGCUACGGGCUAAGCUAAAGCUAACACCACACCGGCUGCCUUUACCCAGUAUUUUCCUCGCCAAUGUACGUUCUCUGGCAAACAAAAUGGAUGAGAUACGGCUCUCCAUCACUAACAACAGACGGAUUAUGGACUUAAAUGUCAUGGUUUUCACCGAAACAUGGUUGAACAACAGCUGUCCUGCUAACAGAGUGUGUGGCGUGCA
This is a long non-coding RNA of Astatotilapia calliptera (eastern happy), 2013 nucleotides long. The record is from Ensembl. Lineage: Eukaryota; Metazoa; Chordata; Actinopteri; Cichliformes; Cichlidae.